GACGAACGCUGGCGGCGUGCUUAACACAUGCAAGUCAGGGAGAACGAGGUAGCAAUAUCUCUAGUAAACCGGCGCACGGGUGAGUAACACGUAGGCAAUUUGCCUUUAGGACGGGGACAACCUCGAGAAAUCGGGGCUAAUACCCGAUAAUGCAGCGGCACCGCAUGGUGAUGUUGUUAAAGGCCCCAAAAGGGCGCCUAUUGAUGAGCCUGCGUCCCAUUAGGUAGUUGGCGGGGUAACGGCCCACCAAGCCGACGAUGGGUAGCUGGUCUGAGAGGAUGAUCAGCCACACUGGAACUGAGACACGGUCCAGACUCCUACGGGUGGCAG
RNAcentral lists this ribosomal RNA (330 nucleotides) under uncultured Chlorobiota bacterium. RNAcentral describes it as "bacterial SSU rRNA". It matches the Rfam family "Bacterial small subunit ribosomal RNA", at positions 28 to 351 of the family's 1533-position model. The record is from RNAcentral. Lineage: Bacteria; Pseudomonadati; Chlorobiota.